Molecule: ribosomal RNA, 545 nt
Filed under: Demimaea cf. strumosa MB-2015
Lineage: Eukaryota; Metazoa; Arthropoda; Insecta; Coleoptera; Curculionidae
Description: partial 16S ribosomal RNA
Rfam family: Bacterial large subunit ribosomal RNA
Source: RNAcentral
UUUAUUAAAAACAUGGCCUUUUGAGUAUAAUUUAAGGUCUAACCUGCCCAAUGAUAAAAUUAAAUGGCCGCGGUAUUUUGACCGUGCAAAGGUAGCAUAAUCAUUAGUUUUUUAAUUGAAAGCUUGUAUGAAAGGUUGAAUGAGAAAAUAGCUGUCUCUAUUUAAAUUUUAUAGAAAUUUAUUUUUAAGUUAAAAAGCUUAAAUAAUUAUAAAAGACGAGAAGACCCUAUAGAGUUUCAUAAUUUUAAUUUUAUUUAUAGUAGUUUAAUUUUAUUAAAAAUUAUUUAAUUGGGGUGAUUUAAAAAUUUAUAAAACUUUUUAUUAAAAAAAACAUUUAUUUAUGAAUAAUUGAUCCUUAAUAAAGAUUAUAAGAUAAAAUUACCUUAGGGAUAACAGCGUAAUUUUUUAAAAAGUUCUUAUUAAAAAAAAAGAUUGCGACCUCGAUGUUGGAUUAAAAUAAAUUUUUGGUGUAGAAGCUAGAAAAUUAGGUCUGUUCGACUUUUAAUAUUUUACAUGAUCUGAGUUUAAACCGGUGUAAGCCAGGU